GGAAACGGUCGCUAAUACCGCAUAACAUACUGGGAGGACAUCCUGCUGGUAUCAAAGAUUUAUCGCUCGAAGAUGGGCUCGCGUCCGAUUAGGUAGUUGGUGAGGUAACGGCUCACCAAGCCGACGAUCGGUAGCCGGACUGAGAGGUUGAACGGCCACAUUGGGACUGAGACACGGCCCAGACUCCUACGGGAGGCAGCAGUGGGGGAUAUUGCACAAUGGGGGAAACCCUGAUGCAGCGACGCCGCGUGUGGGAAGACGGUCCUCUGGAUUGUAAACCACUGUCCCCAGGGACGAAAAUGACGGUACCUGGGGAGGAAGCUCCGGCUAACUACGUGCCAGCAGCCGCGGUAAUACGUAGGGAGCGAGCGUUGUCCGGAAUUACUGGGUGUAAAGGGAGCGUAGGCGGGGAUGCAAGUUGGGUGUCAAAACUACCGGCUCAACUGGUAGUCGCACUCAAAACUGCAGCUCUUGAGUGAAGUAGAGGCAGGCGGAAUUCCUAGUGUAGCGGUGAAAUGCGUAGAUAUUAGGAGGAACACCAGUGGCGAAGGCGGCCUGCUGGGCUUUUACUGACGCUGAGGCUCGAAAGUGUGGGGAGCAAACAGGAUUAGAUACCCUGGUAGUCCACGCGGUAAACGAUGAGUGCUAGGUGU
RNAcentral lists this ribosomal RNA (653 nucleotides) under uncultured bacterium. RNAcentral describes it as "bacterial SSU rRNA". It matches the Rfam family "Bacterial small subunit ribosomal RNA", at positions 152 to 823 of the family's 1533-position model. The record is from RNAcentral.